RNAcentral lists this ribosomal RNA (249 nucleotides) under Girardinia diversifolia. RNAcentral describes it as "5.8S ribosomal RNA". The stretch from base 93 to 248 matches the Rfam family "5.8S ribosomal RNA". From Rfam's summary of the family: 5.8S ribosomal RNA (5.8S rRNA) is a component of the large subunit of the eukaryotic ribosome. It is transcribed by RNA polymerase I as part of the 45S precursor that also contains 18S and 28S rRNA. Lineage: Eukaryota; Viridiplantae; Streptophyta; Magnoliopsida; Rosales; Urticaceae. The record is from RNAcentral.
CGCGGGAUGCGCCAAGGAAUCUCCGAACGAAUCUAACUCCCUGCCGUCGUGCUCGCACGGCGGCAUCGGGUGCGAUCGAUAUAAGUCAUAACGACUCUCGGCAACGGAUAUCUCGGCUCUCGCAUCGAUGAAGAACGUAGCGAAAUGCGAUACGUGGUGUGAAUUGCAGGAUCCCGUGAACCAUCGAGUUUUUGAACGCAAGUUGCGCCCGAAGCCAUCAGGCCGAGGGCACGUCUGCCUGGGCGUCAC